Molecule: ribosomal RNA, 213 nt
Filed under: Escherichia coli
Lineage: Bacteria; Pseudomonadati; Pseudomonadota; Gammaproteobacteria; Enterobacterales; Enterobacteriaceae
Also listed under: 1 other name
Description: partial 16S ribosomal RNA
Rfam family: Bacterial small subunit ribosomal RNA
Source: RNAcentral
AAAUUGAAGAGUUUGAUCAUGGCUCAGAUUGAACGCUGGCGGCAGGCCUAACACAUGCAAGUCGAACGGUAACAGGAAGCAGCUUGCUGUUUCGCUGACGAGUGGCGGACGGGUGAGUAAUGUCUGGGAAACUGCCUGAUGGAGGGGGAUAACUACUGGAAACGGUAGCUAAUACCGCAUAACGUCGCAAGACCAAAGAGGGGGACCUUCGGG